CAGAGAAAGAGGAACCAGAAGAAAGAGAAACUCGCGACAACAGAGUUGCCGAAAGAGAAGUGUUGGCGCCUCAAACUUGAGGAUCAGCUUCUCGGGCCCCACUCCAAGGUGUCGUGGCGGUCGGGUUCUUUCCGCCGCCCUCCGGAAGAUUCUCAGCUAACCCUUUCUCCGCCGAGACCCAGAGGCCCUCACUCUGACACCACUCCGGGAGCCAAGCUACUGUAAGGAGCUGAUACCACCCCUCGCCGGCGCGAACCGCCCAUCUCCCCAGACCCGCCCACCCCCUGCUGCGCAUCCCUGACGUUCUAGCCCGGCGAAGGUCCUCUUAAAUUAGGAAACAAUAGCUAUUUAGGAAGAAGGGCAAAUAACCCGCGCUCUGCGCGCCCAAUCGUGGAAUUCUUGGGAGUUCCCCGCGGGCAAGGAACUCUGCUGCUCCCGGCAGCUGCGGAAGAGAAGAGGGAGCCUGCGUGCUGGGGCAGGGGCGUCGCGAACUUGGGGCAACCCACUUCCAGGGCCCCGCCCCCGCUUUCCCGCCUGCCGGAGACCCGCCGAAUGGGGAACCACCCUCCUCCCUGAGGCAAAUUUGGAAGGGGAGGGGUCCAGGAGCGGUAGAGCCGGGGCGCCAAGCGCCAGAUUCUGCCGCUCAGAAGUCGGGGGCAGUCCCCAGUCCCGCCUCAGGCCCCGGCGCUCACAGUGCGCACCGCCGAGGGCGCGGGCCUGGCGCGCGGUGUCACCGCCACGAAGUCUUUUAUUUGCCCUUAGGGAGCCGGCCCUCGACCCCUUGGAGGGUGGAGAUUCCUCCCAUUCCCUCCUCCCCCUCCCCCGGGUCAGCGAAGAGACGUGGAAUUGAGCUGGAGCGAUGAUUCCGCGAGCACUGUAAUUACGCACACACUGAAAUCUUCACCGUUGACUUAAGUUACUUGGCGCUGCGAGAGCUGGGGCCCUGCAUAUUGAUUAAAUGCAGCCUCUGUUUACCUAAACAAUAAAUGUAGAGAUUAGCAACGUUCACUUGAUCACAAUAAUGGGAUUGACAAUUAAGGGGCAAUGCAUCCCAGAUGUAGCGGAGCCUAUGGGCUGCAUGCAGCGGGCAGAGGGCUUCUCGGAGAGGGGCGCUCGGGCAGUUGCGGCGGCGGAGGUGGUGCAGAGCAGGAAGCGGCGCGGAAGCACAGCGGGAGGCGGAGGGGGACGCCCAUACUCGUCAAGGUCGCCCACCCCGCCCGGGAGGCUCGAAACUGGCUUUGGGGUACCUGAAUGCCCCGACUCCCAGGGAGACAUCUGGAGCUCGGAGCCACCCUCCCUGCGGCGAUGGCACCUGCCUCAAGGCGGUCUCGCUUGCUGAUGCCUGGCUGGGAAGGAGGAUGGACGCCGCUGGCAUGUGCCCUGGCUCUGGGAAAACUGGCAGGAAUUUCCUUGUCGUGAGAAGAUGGACGAGUGUGUCUGCAGUCGAGGAGACAACUACAAACAGACUUUGGGCAGGGAAGGCGGGCGGGCGGGGGUGGGGGUGGGGGCGGGGGCCAGCUUUGAUCGCUCCAGCUCUGUUGUAAUUUUGUCUUCGCCAGAUAGAUUAGCUGGAACCGCCAGCCCUAGCUUGGAGUUCCGUUCCACGGAGUACCCUCCCUCCCCACCCCCCGCGUCAUCUCGCGCCUGGAGCCGGGUCGCCGCUCCUUCCGAAGUCUCGCUGGAAACUUCAAGGGCUGAUGGUUCUGUGUUCCUGACGUAAUUAGGAGGCCACGCAGCUCUCCAGCACUCCGUUAAACAAAUAUAAUCCUGCAGGCUCACAUUUGAACAGGGAAGGUUCCAGGCAAGUCCACCUUAAGCUUGAGUUUGGGCGAUUACAGAACCCAGGAAGAAAGUCUAGAUGGCACAGUCACUCCGGUCUCAGUUCUACAGGGGAGGGAAGAAAGGGGGUGUUAGUGGGGAUAUUUGCUGUUCAUUUUUCCCCCAAUUUCCCUUCCAAAUCUGUCACGAUUAAUGAGCAAAGCCCAUGCCACAAUUUAUAGAUUAUUGUGGACUGAGGAUCAUUUUGUUGAUAUCAGACAAGAAACUUUCCUUACUUGCAUCCUUGUGUCUGUAUUUACAGUAAAAACUUCCUUAGUCACAAACGGAUAUGCAUUUAGCCAUACCUUUUCUUUUUACUUACUUAUUUUUAAUAAAGCAACAUCAGGAGUUGUGAUAGGAAAUAACAUGGGAGAGGGUGUGUUAAAGGGAAGGAAGGAAAAGCCAAUCUUUAUCCCAGGGUGUCCUGGAGGUAUGCCUACACUCCUGUUUAACGUCUUGUGGUUGUAGUGCCUUCUCCAAGCCCUGGAUAGAGGAGGAAAGAGUUGGAAGCCUCCUCAAAUCUGCCUAUGAAAGGGUAACACUGAGGAAACUGGUACCCUGGCUAGGAGAAACUGAGUAAUGAUCAAAAUCCUGGCCUCUGGCUUUUCUUGAUAUUAGUUCAGGUCUAUGUGAAAAGAUUGCUUUAAUGUCUCCAAAGGUGGUUCCAUUAGAGUUGGCUGAGACAAUACAUGUGCAUCAUUUUGGAAGAGAUGCUCUUAAAAAGAAGAAAGUGACUACAGAAUGCCACAUUUGCUUAGGUCUAAGACCCUUCUUUGGUAGUUGGUGAGGGAGGGAGGAAAGUAAAACCCCAAGCUGAAUAGGCCCCCCAUAGUUUCUGAGUGAUGCAGUAAACAAAUCUAUGAUGCUUGUUGAAUAAUCUUCCAAUAAUUGCAGUCAUUAAAAUCAUCACACAGUCUACAGUCACCUUCCUUCCUUUGACACACCAGUCUUUCCCUUAAUUGUUAAUGCAUUUUGGGCUCAGAUAAACAGAUCGAGGCAAGCUUAAAAUAUAUGGCCCAGAUACAUCUAACAGCAGAAAAUUAGUUGUGUAACAAAUGUUUGGACUAUACUUAAUAGACUAGGAGUUUUCAAUUUCUUCAGUAGACCCUACAGAGGCAAGAAAGAUUUGCAUCUUCUACCACUGCUAAAUAGCAGUGACGCCUCUGAGAUACAAAAAAAAGAAAAGAUGAAAGUCCCAUUGGCCUAUUGAAUCUUCCUUGCUCUUUCAUUUGCAAGGGUUAGGCUGGAAUUAGGACAUUAUAGAACAAAUAUUAAAGGAAAGCUCAACAGAAA
This is a long non-coding RNA of Cercocebus atys (sooty mangabey), 3111 nucleotides long. RefSeq lists it as uncharacterized. NCBI's taxonomy places the organism in Eukaryota, Metazoa, Chordata, Mammalia, Primates, Cercopithecidae. The transcript has 3 exons. The record is from RefSeq and is a predicted model, not a curated record.